Long non-coding RNA from Anas platyrhynchos (mallard), 1832 nucleotides. RefSeq lists it as uncharacterized. Lineage: Eukaryota; Metazoa; Chordata; Aves; Anseriformes; Anatidae. The record is from RefSeq and is a predicted model, not a curated record.
AUAAAUGACCACCUAUUUCACAUGCCAGAGAUAGCACCAACCAAUAACAGUAACACUGCAGUUAACUUCAAAAUAUCUUAACAUUUAUCACUUCACGUCUUUACAGUAUGGUGAAGUAGGUAAAAGAAAGAUUGUGAUCCUCUGUGGACACGAUUGCUUCCAUUUAGUCUGAAAGAGUGUCAAUUAAAAUUAGAAGCAUUUUCUCCCUCUACAAGCAAGUAUCAGCAAUGAAAUGUCAUUCCCCUCCAGCUUAAGGCAACCCAGUUUGAGAUACAGGAAUGCACACACAGAGCACCCUCCCAGCCACACUCCGUGUUCACACUUACCAUGGCACAGAUUUAUCCAUCAUGGUUGGUUACAACCAACGAGGCACCAGGAUGUUGCUACCCAACACAGGUUGGCUGCUUACUUUCUACUGACUUGGCAAUCUGAAUCUUCUUUUCCAGCUUCCUGUGCUGUACUGCCUGAUACCAGAGAUGUUUACAUGAGGUUUAACUUUCAGGCUGCCUGUUUGGCCUGAUGGCAAACACCAGAAAGAAAGGAACACAGGAAACCACCACCUCUGCUGCUGAUUCUAGCUCCAAGGUUCAUGCCAAAAGAUGCAGGGUCACAGUUCUCAUUUUGUUGAGCACUGUCCAGCUUUACCCGAUUGCAUUCCCAAAAAACGUGCGUGCUAGGAACCCCAGAUUACACCUUUGCCUCUGUGGCCUUGCAUGUGUCCUACAGGAAAACAUAUUAGAAUUUCUGCACAUUUACUGCAUGCAUCUCAAGUGCAUUUCUACUUGUACCUAUCUGGGUUUUUUAGUCACUGCCAGGGAUUUCCCUACAUGGGGACUUUCAAAGAAGUAAGCAAAUUACUUAAGAAAAAGAACACAUUACACCAAUAAAGAAAACCCACUAAAAACCACAACACUUACUUUCUGCUCCUUCAUCCCCAUACUCUGGAACAAACUGCUCCACCUCUAUUGCAGGCAAAGAGCAUGUCUGGUAACAAAUCCUGAGUGAAACAGACAACAGUCAUGUCUUUUGUAAUACACGCAUCCAUUGCCAAAUCCAUCGAUCCCCAGAGGAUUAUAUAAAAAUCAUAAUAUAAAGGUCAUUUGCAAAAUCUGGCUGCUUUAUCAGGUGAGAAGUAAUUAAACUAAACAGCCAGCGGGGUUUAUGAGGAUAUGACACAUGACACCUUCCAGCUUCCUGAUGUGUGCCACGCUACCCAGCAGCGUAUAUAUAGACGCCGGCCGUCCAGGCAGCGCUAUCACCGCAGCCAGCCGACUUCUCCUGACCCACUGACCAGCCGCUCAACAUGCAACCCAAAGGCGUCUCGCUCAAAAUGAAGCUCCUCCUGCUGUCUUGCAUCGUGAGCAUGGUCCUUGCUGUCGCCAAUGCUGAUCACCACGACAGUGAUAGCUCUAGUGGGGACAGUUCGGAGGAGAAGCCAAGACGACCCUUCCGGCCCUUUCGCCCCAUAUUUCGCCCCAUCCUGAGAAGGGGCAGGGCUGUGAGCUAUUACGCAUGACAAGUCUGAGGUAAGCAACCUAUCUUGCUGUACAAAAAUACAUCUGCUCUAUCAUGACAUUUUCCCAGUUCUCACUGUUAAUAUUUUAAUUGUGCAAGAAAUUUUGUGGCCCAAGCAAGAACUGAGAUCUAGAUAUGAAGAUACUGGAACAGGCGUAAAGCAGUGGUGCUCUGCACAAUGUACUGUGUAACAUCAGGUACUCCAGCUGAAAAUGGUCUAGCCGGAAAUCUUUCUUGGGAACAAACGACUACCAAAAAACAUAUCCAAGCCCCCGUGCCCCUGCCAGACUGGCUUGAAUAGAAAACUGCUAAGGACA